AUACGUAGGGUGCGAGCGUUGUCCGGAAUUACUGGGCGUAAAGAGCUCGUAGGUGGUUUGUCGCGUCGUCUGUGAAAUUCCGGGGCUUAACUCCGGGCGUGCAGGCGAUACGGGCAUAACUUGAGUACUGUAGGGGAGACUGGAAUUCCUGGUGUAGCGGUGAAGUGCGCAGAUAUCAGGAGGAACACCGGUGGCGAAGGCGGGUCUCUGGGCAGUAACUGACGCUGAGGAGCGAAAGCAUGGGUAGCGAACAGGAUUAGAUACCCUGGUAGUCCAUGCCGUAAACGGUGGGCGCUAGGUGUAGGGGUCUUCCACGACUUCUGUGCCGUAGCUAACGCAUUAAGCGCCCCGCCUGGGGAGUACGGCCGCAAGGCUAAAACUCAAAUGAAUUGACGGGG
RNAcentral lists this ribosomal RNA (398 nucleotides) under uncultured bacterium. Its description in RNAcentral is "partial 16S ribosomal RNA". It matches the Rfam family "Bacterial small subunit ribosomal RNA", at positions 523 to 918 of the family's 1533-position model. The record is from RNAcentral.